GUCACCCGGGAAUCUUGUUAAAAUGCGGAUUCCAGUUCAGUACAGCUGGGGUGGGGCCUGAGAUUCUGCAUUUCUGGUAAGCUCCCAGGGGAUGCUGA
Molecule: microRNA precursor, 98 nt
Filed under: Equus caballus (horse)
Lineage: Eukaryota; Metazoa; Chordata; Mammalia; Perissodactyla; Equidae
Description: mir-544 microRNA precursor family
Rfam family: mir-544 microRNA precursor family
Source: Rfam by way of RNAcentral